CCUACGGGAUGCAGCAGUGGGGAAUAUUGGACAAUGGGCGAAAGCCUGAUCCAGCAAUGCCGCGUGAGUGAUGAAGGCCUUAGGGUUGUAAAGCUCUUUUACUAGGGAUGAUAAUGACAGUACCUAGAGAAUAAGCUCCGGCUAACUCCGUGCCAGCAGCCGCGGUAAUACGGAGGGAGCUAGCGUUGUUCGGAAUUACUGGGCGUAAAGCGCGCGUAGGCGGCUUUUCAAGUCAGAGGUGAAAUCCCAGGGCUCAACCCUGGAACUGCCUUUGAAACUGGAUGGCUAGAAUACUGGAGAGGUGAGUGGAAUUCCGAGUGUAGAGGUGAAAUUCGUAGAUAUUCGGAAGAACACCAGUGGCGAAGGCGACUCACUGGACAGUUAUUGACGCUGAGGUGCGAAAGCGUGGGGAGCAAACAGGAUUAGAUACCCGAGUAGUC
This 440-nucleotide ribosomal RNA is filed under the name uncultured bacterium. RNAcentral describes it as "bacterial SSU rRNA". It matches the Rfam family "Bacterial small subunit ribosomal RNA", at positions 338 to 795 of the family's 1533-position model. The record is from RNAcentral.